This 501-nucleotide ribosomal RNA is filed under the name uncultured bacterium. RNAcentral's name for it is "partial 16S ribosomal RNA". It matches the Rfam family "Bacterial small subunit ribosomal RNA", at positions 28 to 507 of the family's 1533-position model. The record is from RNAcentral.
GACGAACGCUGGCGGCGUGCCUAAUACAUGCAAGUCGAGCGGACCGGAUUGGGGCUUGCCUUGAUUCGGUCAGCGGCGGACGGGUGAGUAACACGUGGGCAACCUGCCCGCAAGACCGGGAUAACUCCGGGAAACCGGAGCUAAUACCGGAUAACACCGAAGACUGCAUGGUCUUCGGUUGAAAGGCGGCCUUUGGGCUGUCACUUGCGGAUGGGCCCGCGGCGCAUUAGCUAGUUGGUGAGGUAACGGCUCACCAAGGCGACGAUGCGUAGCCGGCCUGAGAGGGUGACCGGCCACACUGGGACUGAGACACGGCCCAGACUCCUACGGGAGGCAGCAGUAGGGAAUCUUCCGCAAUGGGCGAAAGCCUGACGGAGCGACGCCGCGUGAGCGAAGAAGGCCUUCGGGUCGUAAAGCUCUGUUGUGAGGGACGAAGGAGCGCCGUUCGAAGAGGGCGGCGCGGUGACGGUACCUCACGAGAAAGCCCCGGCUAACUACGUG